AACGCACAUUGCGCCCGCUAGUAUUCUGGCGGGCAUGCCUGUUCGAGCGUCAUUUCAACCCUCAAGCACUGCUUGGUGUUGGAGAAGUAUGGUCUCCGCCGUACCCUCCGAAAAUCAGUGGCGGACUCACCUAGAUUCCGGGCGCAGUAGAGAUGCGACGCCUUGGAGGUCUGGUGUGCUCUAGCCGUUAAACCCCCAAAUUCUUAAGGUUGACCUCGGAUCAGGUAGGAAUACCCGCUGAACUUAA
Molecule: unclassified non-coding RNA, 247 nt
Filed under: uncultured fungus
Lineage: Eukaryota; Fungi
Description: sequence contains ITS2
Source: RNAcentral